This 400-nucleotide ribosomal RNA is filed under the name uncultured bacterium. Its description in RNAcentral is "bacterial SSU rRNA". It matches the Rfam family "Bacterial small subunit ribosomal RNA", at positions 355 to 772 of the family's 1533-position model. The record is from RNAcentral.
CAAGGAAUUUUCCCCAAUGGCCGAAAGGCUGAGGGAGCAACGUCGCGUGCAGGAUGACGGCCCUCGGGUUGUAAACUGCUUUUGGGCGGGAAGAUGAUGACGGUACCGCCCGAAUAAGCCCCGGCUAACUCCGUGCCAGCAGCCGCGGUAAGACGGAGGGGGCAAGCGUUGUCCGGAAUCACUGGGCGUAAAGGGCGCGUAGGUGGCUGCGUGCGUCGGUGCUGAAAGCGCCGGGCUUAACCCGGCGAGGCGUGCCGAUACGACGCGGCUUGAGGCAGGGAGAGGGUAGCGGAAUUCCGGGUGUAGUGGUGAAAUGCGUAGAGAUCCGGAGGAACGCCAGAGACGAAGGUGGCUACCUGGCCCUGACCUGACACUGAGGCGCGAAAGCGUGGGGAGCGAA